This 775-nucleotide ribosomal RNA is filed under the name uncultured Neocallimastigales. Its description in RNAcentral is "partial large subunit ribosomal RNA". It matches the Rfam family "Eukaryotic large subunit ribosomal RNA", at positions 26 to 614 of the family's 3401-position model. The record is from RNAcentral. Lineage: Eukaryota; Fungi; Neocallimastigomycota; Neocallimastigomycetes; Neocallimastigales.
CGCAUCUGUGCAUGCAGCAUAUCAAUAAGCGGAGGAAAAGAAACUAACAAGGAUUCCCCUAGUAACGGCGAGUGAAGCGGGAAGAGCUCAAAUUUGAAAUCUUAAAGGGUUUCCCUUUACGAAUUGUAGUUUAAAGAAGUGUUUUCUGUUGAGGUUUUGGUAAAAGUUCUUUGGAAUAGGACAUCAUAGAGGGUGAGAAUCCCGUAUUUGACCUUUACUUUCAACUUUGUGAUACACUUUCAAAGAGUCGGAUUGUUUGGGAAUGCAGUCCAAAAUGGGUGGUAAAUUUCAUCUAAAGCUAAAUAUUGGCGAGAGACCGAUAGCGAACAAGUACCGUGAGGGAAAGAUGAAAAGAACUUUGAAAAGAGAGUUAAACAGUACGUGAAAUUGUCAAAAGGGAAGCGUUUGACACCAGUGUUGUUUUUCUGAAAAUCAAUUAAAGAACUGUUUAUGCUAAGCUGUUUAGACUUUAUCAGCUAUACUGUUUAGUUUUGAGCUUUUCUUUAAUGCACUUUUCAGUUAACAAGUCAACAUCAAUUUCUUUUGCUGUAAAAAAGCUUGAGGAAGGUGGCUUGAGAUUCGUCUUAAGUGUUUAUAGCCUCUUGCCUAUGCAGUCGGAGAGAUUGAGGUCUGCAGCGUAGAUCCUUCGGGGCUAAAUGCAUUUGUGCUAAGUUAUAGCAUUUUAUAGACAACUUGUUGACUAUGAUGUGUCUUGUAGCUUACUCGCUUAUGUUAUUUUACCUACGCUUAGGAUGUUGAGUCAUCACACAUCUCU